AUUUGAUAUUGCCACUCUUGUCGCGAGGCAAGUUCGGAAAGCCUACGGAUCUCCGCAAACGAGACGGCUGGGUUGCCUCU
This 80-nucleotide non-coding RNA is filed under the name Nitrosomonas sp. RNAcentral describes it as "c-di-GMP sequence". It matches the Rfam family "c-di-GMP-I riboswitch aptamer". From Rfam's summary of the family: GEMM was predicted in a large-scale screen for bacterial structured RNA regulatory elements. Genes associated with GEMM are involved in a diverse array of functions, including chemotaxis regulation, signal transduction, secretion and chitin. The record is from RNAcentral. Lineage: Bacteria; Pseudomonadati; Pseudomonadota; Betaproteobacteria; Nitrosomonadales; Nitrosomonadaceae.